This 3668-nucleotide long non-coding RNA is filed under the name Capsicum annuum. RNAcentral describes it as "long non-coding RNA (CANN_LNC007905)". The stretch from base 547 to 638 matches the Rfam family "Small nucleolar RNA Z159/U59". The record is from RNAcentral. Lineage: Eukaryota; Viridiplantae; Streptophyta; Magnoliopsida; Solanales; Solanaceae.
AAAAAAGAACAUCAUUGUUAUGACUAAGAUGGGCCAGAAUAUAGUGAAGAGCCCAAACAGCUGAUCAAAUUGUACAGCCCAAAACUGGCUAGGGCUCUAAUAAUCUCCACUGGCACUUUACCCUUAUAAAUUCAACCACCAAAUCUUCCAAUCCUUCAAGUCCAGCACAAUACACGUCUAGGGUAGCAAAAAAUUCCCUUUCUUCUUUAAUCUCUCUUCUUAGAUUUCUGUAGUUUUUGUUUUUCUCUUCUUUCUGUUGUGUUUAAUGCUAUUUUUUUGAUUGUUCAUUGGGUGUGUGAUAUUUGUAUUGAGGCUCGAUUAAAUUGAAUUUACACUUUGUUUUCCAAUUUCCUUUCCUUUUUGUAUUGUUUAAUGCUAUUUUCCUCAGUUUUAGCUCUUUGAUGAUCCUAAUUCAUUAUGGAGAUCUCUGUAAAGGUAAUUUUUGAUUAUUAUUUUUUCAUUUGGUGCGCUGUAUUUGUAUUGAGGUUCAAUUAAAUUUGAAUUCACUUUUUGUAUUUGUGCUUAGUGUUAUCGUUCUCAAUUAUUGUCUCUGAUGAUGAUCAAACAUAUAACUUUCGUUCUUCCGAGGAUUAACUUCCGUUGUGGAAAAAGUUAUUGGAGACCUGAACUGAAGAGACGCUUUGAUUAUCUCUCACGUUUUUGGGUAUUGUUACCAUAGGUUUAAUGUUUACUUGCGAUAAACAUACCCUCUCUGUUAUUUUUCUUUUCAAAUCAAUUUUGGUAAUUAUCAUUAUGAUAAACAUACCAUCUCUGUUAUUUUUCAGUUCAAAUCAAUUUUGGUAAUUAUCAUUAUUCAUCUUAUCUGUUUUUUCUAUGCUCAUAAUUCAUAUAAAGAUCUUUAUUAUUGUCUCUGAUGAUGAUCAAACAUAUAACUUUCGUUCUUCCGAGGGUUAAUGCCCAUGCGGAAAUGUUAUGGAGACCUGAACUGAGGAGGCAAAUAUCUUUUCUUUUCAUAUAUAUAUAAAUAUAUCCUAUCUAAAAAGAUGAGGUUUCUGGAAUAAUUGUGGAAGUUGGCUCUUUUGUUGACGCUNNNNNNNNNNNNNNNNNNNNNNNNNNNNNNNNNNNNNNNNNUCGAAUGACUUAUUUUGUUGUAAGUAUUUUAAUUUUUAAAUUUUUAAAUUUUUACAUGUUUAAGAAUACAUGAUUAAAAGAUAUUUUAAUAUAUUUUGACAUUAAUUUUAAUUUAGAAUUAAAAAAUUUAAUAAGUCUUUUAUUUUUUUAAAAAAAAUUGUGUCAAAUCAAAUGAAAUCAUUUUUUAUCUUUGAAACGAAGGGUGUAUAAUAUUUUGGAGUACUAAAGUUUUUUAUUUUAUUUUUGUUGGUUGAAUUUGUUAAGACUAGAAGAUAAUUUCAUUAAAUUUUAGUUACUAGAAGAUAAUUUUAAUAAGUACUAAUUAGGAACGGAGAAGGGAGUAAUUUAUUGAUCAUUGGAAAACUAUAAACCAAUCAUGUUUAUUAAAAUUAUAAAUCAAAUCAACAUAAAAUUAGUUUUUUUUUAUUUAGGUUUUAGUCGGUUUUUUUGUUUUUUUUUAUUUUUAUUAUAAUCUUUAAUUUUUACAAUUAUAUUGUGAUCGAAUGCUAGAUCAAAUAUAUAUUUCACUCAUGUGCUAAUGGAAAAUCACAAUUAUAAAAAAAUGAGAAGCGAAAAAUUCUUUUAAAACUAAAAAGUGAGAUGAAAUGUAGAAAGUUUAAAUUUUAAAUUUAUAUUGGAUUUUUAAUCAUUUAAUUAACAAUUAAUGAACAAAUAUUACGGUCUAAAGGUCCAAAUCUGAAUAUAUGUCUACAUCUACUAAAAUUAGUUAAAAAAUAUUUAAAAAGUAGAUUAUAAUUAAUAUUUUAUGCGUAAAAAGUUAUAAUUAUAAUAUUAAAUAUAUGUCGGUCUGAUUUGGGCUUGGUUUGGGUUUGGUUUGACUUUUUUUUUGGAUAGCACCAAAUCAAAUCAAGAAUGAUCAUUUUUUUUUCUAACGCCAAAUCAAUCAAAUUAAAUCAUAAGUUGAUUUUUUUUUCUCGAUUUGAUUUGAACACCCUAGUGUCAUGUUGAAAAGUAAUUGAAAACCUAGUGUCAUGUUGAAAAGUAAUUGAAGACCUGAACUGAGGAGUCACUAAUGACCUUAGUAAUGAAUUAUUCUCUUCAUUCUAUCUUAUAUUAGAUAAGUAUGUCCGUGCAUUGUACGGACCCAACAUAUAUAUUUACAUUGAUAGAGAUGAUAUUUAUACACAAUUGAGAUUAUAUGAAGCAAAUAAAUAACGAAUUUCAGUGUAUAGACCAUCGAAGAAUAUCAGUUGCUACAUUUGGUAACUAACCACAAAAGAUGAAAUCGAAGGGAAUAACUCAUAGUAGAAUAUACUGAGCAGAGAAAGAAUAUGAGAGUAGUAUGCAUCUGGAAUACAAAUUGUUAAAUCAAAUUGAACCGAAGAAUCAAAUCAAACUGACGAAAAGAAUCAACUUAUGAUUUUGUUUGAUUGGUUUGGUGUUGGCAAAUAAAAACCAAUCAUUCUUGAUUUAAUUUCGUAUUAGAAAAAAUAAAAUCAAACUGAACCCAAAUCGAACCGAUGUAAUAUAUAUAUAAUUUUAAUUUUUUAUACGUAAAAAAAUAUUAAUUAUAAUUUACUUUCUAAUUACUUUUACUAUUUUUUUUAUUUAGAAAAUAGAUAUAUAUUUUUGGAUCUUUAAUUAUAGUAUUUUUUUCAUUAAUAACAAAUAAAUACAAAGCUCAAUAUCUAUAUCUAUAUUUAUAUCUAUAAUCUAUAUUUAUAUAUAUAAUCUAUAACUAUAAUUUAUAAUAUAUUAAAAGUGUGAAGGGCCUUAGAAAUGUUGUUUGAAAUUUUUGUCCUUCAUUAAAAAUUUUCGCUUUAGACAAAAUCAUUUUUUCACUAUUUUUUUCUAAUUUUUAAAAGUUAAUAAUUAAUUAAUAUAUAUUUAUGGUAAAAUCUUUUCUUAUUAGAAGUCGUCAGAAUUAAUGACAACUAAUAUUUUUUAAAUUAGUUUAAGAAUGAUCAAACAACUAAAUUUGAAUUUAAUAAGAUUUGAAAAAUCUAGAAACAAAUAUAAAAGCCUUAGAAUAAGAAAAUUUUAAUAAGUAUUAAAUUUUAAAAAGUUUAAAUGUUUAAUAAGAAAUGUCUUUUUAUUAUUUUAUCAAAUACUUAUUUAACUAUUUUUACUACAAAAACACGUCCCACCUUAAAAAGAAAAAAAAAAGUAGUGUCAGAUUGUAGUUAGCAUACGACCUAAUUUCUUUCUUUUAAGUAUGAUUUUUAAUUUAAUUAGGAGUCCUUAAUUUUCUUUUCUUUUAAGUUUCGUUUGUCUUGAUCUUCUAUAAUAAUUAGUUUUUUUAUAAGAAACGUUUCUCAAAUUAGAUUAGAUUUCUUCCAUGUUUCAUAAACUCUCUUAAAAGGAAAAAAACCGUACAUCUAUAUAUUGAGCAUUCCUUUUUUUCCAAUAAAUAAUAGAACAACAUUCACAAUUUAAUUGUUAAAGAGUAUGUUCAAGAGAAGAUUAGUUUUAUGUUUUUUAAUAUUAGUUUUUAAUUUGUAGGUCAACAAUAUUAAAUAUUAUGCAUCUUUUAUUAACUUUUUUUAUCGUAUAAUUUAUUGUAAUUUCAAUUGUUGGCUUUCGCGUGAUGUGCAGGUAAAGAAAAAUUAUGUGAG